GGGGGUUGGAAUGGGCGCAGCCUGAUCCAGCAAUGCCGCGUGUGUGAAGAAGGCCUUCGGGUUGUAAAGCACUUUUAUCAGGAGCGAAAUACUAUCGGUUAAUAACCGGUGGGGCUGACGGUACCUGAGGAAUAAGCACCGGCUAACUUCGUGCCAGCAGCCGCGGUAAU
RNAcentral lists this ribosomal RNA (170 nucleotides) under uncultured bacterium. Its description in RNAcentral is "partial 16S ribosomal RNA". It matches the Rfam family "Bacterial small subunit ribosomal RNA", at positions 359 to 524 of the family's 1533-position model. The record is from RNAcentral.